AACGUAGGGGACAAGCGUUAUCCGGAUUUACUGGGCGUAAAGCGCCCGUAGGCGGCCUGACAAGUUGGACGUGAAAGCUCCUGGCUUAACUGGGAGAGGCCGCUCAAAACUGUCAAGCUAGAGUCUGGAAGAGGAGAGCGGAAUUCCCGGUGUAGUGGUGGAAUGCGUAGAGAUCCGGAGGAACACCAGAGGCGAAAGCGGCGUCCUGGGGUGAGGUUGACGCUCAGACACGAAAGCAUGGGGAGCGAACGGG
Molecule: ribosomal RNA, 253 nt
Filed under: uncultured bacterium
Lineage: Bacteria
Description: partial 16S ribosomal RNA
Rfam family: Bacterial small subunit ribosomal RNA
Source: RNAcentral